AGGGUUGCUGGAGGUAUCAGAAGUGCGAAUGCUGACAUAAGUAACGAUAAAGCGGGUGAAAAGCCCGCUCGCCGGAAGACCAAGGGUUCCUGUCCAACGUUAAUCGGGGCAGGGUGAGUCGACCCCUAAGGCGAGGCCGAAAGGCGUAGUCGAUGGGAAACGGGUUAAUAUUCCCGUACUUGGUGUUACUGCGAAGGGGGGACGGAGAAGGCUAUGUUGGCCGGGCGACGGUUGUCCCGGUUUAAGCGUGUAGGUGUGUGUUCCAGGUAAAUCCGGUUCACUUUAACACUGAGGCGUGAUGACGAGGCACUACGGUGCUGAAGCAACAAAUGCCCUGCUUCCAGGAAAAGCCUCUAAGCAUCAGGUAACAUCAAAUCGUACCCCAAACCGACACAGGUGGUCAGGUAGAGAAUACCAAGGCGCUUGAGAGAACUCGGGUGAAGGAACUAGGCAAAAUGGUGCCGUAACUUCGGGAGAAGGCACGCUGACAC
Molecule: ribosomal RNA, 491 nt
Filed under: Salmonella enterica subsp. enterica serovar Kentucky
Lineage: Bacteria; Pseudomonadati; Pseudomonadota; Gammaproteobacteria; Enterobacterales; Enterobacteriaceae
Description: partial 23S ribosomal RNA
Rfam family: Bacterial large subunit ribosomal RNA
Source: RNAcentral